GACGAACGCUGGCGGCGUGCCUAAUACAUGCAAGUCGAACGCUUCUUUCCUCCCGAGUGCUUGCACUCAAUUGGAAAGAGGAGUGGCGGACGGGUGAGUAACACGUGGGUAACUUACCCAUCAGAGGGGGAUAACACUUGGAAACAGGUGCUAAUACCGCAUAACAGUUUAUGCCGCAUGGCAUAAGAGUGAAAGGCGCUUUCGGGUGUCGUUGAUGGAUGGACCCGCGGUGGAUUAGCUAGUUGGUGAGGUAACGGCCCACCAAGGCGACGAUGCAUAGCCGACCUGAGAGGGUGAUCGGCCACACUGGGACUGAGACACGGCCCAGACUCCUACGGGAGGCAGCAGUAGGGAAUCUUCGGCAAUGGACGAAAGUCUGACCGAGCAACGCCGCGUGAGUGAAGAAGGUUUUCGGAUCGUAAAACUCUGUUGUUAGAGAAGAACAAGGACGUUAGUAACUGAACGUCCCCUGACGGUAUCUAACCAGAAAGCCACGGCUAACUACGUG
RNAcentral lists this ribosomal RNA (508 nucleotides) under uncultured bacterium. RNAcentral's name for it is "partial 16S ribosomal RNA". It matches the Rfam family "Bacterial small subunit ribosomal RNA", at positions 28 to 507 of the family's 1533-position model. The record is from RNAcentral.